RNAcentral lists this non-coding RNA (1762 nucleotides) under Pongo abelii (Sumatran orangutan). The record is from RNAcentral. Lineage: Eukaryota; Metazoa; Chordata; Mammalia; Primates; Hominidae.
AGCAGCCGAGUCCAGCGAUGUGGACAGCCAGAUGCAUGCUUGGUGGAGGCAGCCGGCGCCCCCAUGCUGGUCUCAGUCAUCAGUUCCAUCAGUGACAAAUGCUGCUGGGGCCCAUGAGGACCACCCAUGCCACUCACAUGUGGCUUUCCUUCUGGGAUCUGCUAGCUUCUGAGAUGGCCAAGGCAGAUGCGCUCAUGGCUCAGUGAGAAGGUGAACGUCACCUCUGUGUUCAGUGCUAAUGGAGACUGGAGUAACGACGUCUGGUCCGCGUUAAGGCAGGCAGCUCAGCGGCCCACACCUUUGGUUUUUUGGUCUCAGGCCCAUUAUGGGUAAGCUGGUGUGGGGUGGGGCAAGGGAGUUUCAGGGGCUGGAAGGGCCUCAUGGCAGCCCCACGUAGAGGCUGCCUGGCCCCUGGACUGGCCCCACCGAGGGGAACAGGACAUUGCAGCUGGGCUUGGGGAAGAAGGGAGGCCUGUCCUUUUGAUUCUUCUUUCUGGCACCCUGUGUGUGCACGUCUGUGUAGGUGUGUGUACACCUGCACACAUGCCUAUAGUUUCUUUCCACUUGGAAUUGGUUUUGACAAAAAGGUGCGUCAGCUUCCCAAGCUGGUGCCUGCAACAGUGAGGGAUGGAGCCUCAUCCUCAUCCCAGAGCCACACCCUCAGCUUACCCGGGAAAAGGCAGUGGCUUCUUCUGAUGCAUGGAUACAGCCCCCACUACGGAGCUGGGGAGGGAGCUGCAGGCAGCCUUGACUCCAGACCAAAUUCAAAGGACCUGCCUCUUCCAAAGGCCUCCCUCCAAGGGCCACGGGGACCCCAUGACCGUCCUCUCAUCCCAAGCUGGCUGCAUGGGGCGGGCUGGUUUAUACGCAGAUAAGACUGCACCCGCUGAUGAGGUCAGAUGCAGUUGAACCCCGGUGCUGCAGAUGAGGAGUCUGCAGGUGGGGUGAUGCUGACAGGCAGUUGUGGAAGGCCGGGUAGUGGCAGCCACGUGGCAGAGGAGGGGGUGGGAGACCUGGGGCAGGGAUGGGACAGCCAUGGGGUGGAGGAGACUGCACCCCGUGGGAAGGACAGGCCAGUGGCCAGCCCCGAGGCCGCCCUGGCUCCUGUCAGCAUCCCGGGUCCAGUCCACUGUCAUCCUCAUCUGAACACCCUGACUGCAUGUAACACCAGGGCAUCUGCUUCCUGGCCUCUGCAGGGCCACUCUACAGCCUCUGACGCUAUGUGCCAUGGUCUCAGGGUCAGGGCCAAGAGCACUGUGAUAGCGAAUUUCGUGUGUCAACUUGAGUGGGCCCUGGGUGCCUAGACAUUUGGCCAGGCAUUGUUCUGGGUGUGCUGUGGGUGUUUCCCGGUGAGAUUAGCAUGUGAAGGGGUGGCCCUCCCCAGGGUGGUGGGCCUCGUCCAAUCAGUUGGGGGCCUACAUAGAGCCAAAGGCUGAGUGAGAGGGCCUCCUCCUGUGACUGCUGCAGCUGGGACUUUGGUCUUUUCCUGCCUUUGGGCUUGGACUGAAAUGCCAGCUCUUCUUGGGUCUUCAGCCCUCAGGCUGGAACCUGUAGCAGCAUUUCUCCGGUUCUUGGGCCUUCAGACUCAGACUGGACCGAAACCAUCAGCUCUCCUGGGCCUCCAGCUUGCCAACGACAGGUCUUGGGACUUGCCCCUUCCAUAAGUGCUUGAGCCAGGUCUUCAGGAUAAAUCUCUUUCCACCUAUCCUGUUGGUUGUAUUUCUCUGGAUAACUCAGACUAAUACAAGCCAGUCCUUCCAUG